This 4061-nucleotide long non-coding RNA is filed under the name Olea europaea (common olive). RNAcentral describes it as "long non-coding RNA (OEUR_LNC008408)". The record is from RNAcentral. Lineage: Eukaryota; Viridiplantae; Streptophyta; Magnoliopsida; Lamiales; Oleaceae.
CGAGUUGACAUUUAUUUUUGCUACACCCUUGCACUUUGCUGCCCAUUUCAUUUCGUGGAGAUCAAGUAGUAUAUUUGCUUAUGAAAUUGCCACACUCCUUUUUUGAAGGGGCUGCUGGAGAACACGGAUAAAGAGAGAAUCAAGAGACUUGUACGAUUGAAGCCACCUACGGAAUUCUGAAUGGAUAGCCACCCUCUCUCUCAAAUUUAUAAAAAUGAAACAUUUCCGUUUAGGCAGCAUUCCGUAUGUUAUGCAUGAUGAACAAACUUUAAUGUAUUGUUUCAAGUGGUCUUGUGUGUAGGCUUCUUCACUGCUCAACUCCCUUUAGUUUUUUCACCUUUAUUGAUUGUUGUCUAGUCCUUAUUUGAACCAGCACACAGGUGAAAUUUUUCAGUUAUAUUAAGAAAGAAAAGUAAUAAGGCUUAUUUUUACUUUUUACACUCUUUUUAUCUUCCUUUGCCCUCCAGUUGUUUGGUAGUCAUUAGAUGCUUGAUUCGACCCGAGAAUGCCUUAGUGCAUCCUUGGAAGUAGGGGUGGACCCACUAAAGGAUGAGUGGGGUCGGCUGCCCUCAAUGUAUUUUCGAAAACCUUCAAUUCGACCUUGUUAAAUUUAAAUUUUCAGAUUUUUUUGGUUUUUUUCACAAUUUAUUUUAGCCAAUUUUCCGUCUCAUCUCCACUAAAGAAUAAUUCUGGAUCCGCCCUUGGAAGAGAAAGACUCAUUCUCUUGAUCAGCUUUCCUUCGACUCCUUUUUUUCUGAAUAUUCCAAGGUGAAAAGGAAAGAACUCCUUGGGGUUUAUAGUCUAUUCUUUCUUAAAGGAAAGAGUCACUUGCUAAGAGUUAUUAAUCAAGCUAAUCAGAGCAAAGAAUCGCUAUGCCCCCAUUACCCGUACCUGUUACUGGUACCUAUGGGUUCUACGCUUGAGGUUAGUCCAUUUCUGCUUGGACGGUUGUAUUCUUGAAUUUUUCGGACUUUCAAGUUGUAUAAUUAGAACCUGUUUCAUGUAGAUUUUUUCAUAAUAGAUUUGUCAAAAUUAAUUUUUUUCAAGAAUAUGCGGUUAAAAAUAGGAAAAAAUUAUGUGCCCACUUGCAAAAUUAUUUUAUUGAAAGAAUGAAUGGUUAAAAAUGAGUGUGAAAAAAAAGAGUUCAAAAAAUGCUUUUUAGCAAAUUUUCUUUGUUGGUUAAAAUUGAAAAGAAGCAAUAAAUUUUAAAAGGAACUCUUCCUUUACUGUCCAAAUUAGAAGUUUGUACUCCCAACAACUUAUCUUAAUGUGUUUGUGAGUUAUAAAACAAUGGUUGUAUCCUUAGCCGUUGAAUAUGAUAUCUCUGAAAUGUGACACUUAAUAGUUUUUAUCUUACUUUCUGCACACUCGAAUCCAAUGAGAGUGGCAACAUGGUUCCACGCCUUUAUUGAAUUCCUAACAAUUUACUCGUAAGGGUAGGUCGGGGUAGAUAUGCAACUCAAUACCAGUUUCGUGGUAUCUUUAAGGUUAGGAUUGGCAUGUUAGACAUCCUACACUCGAGAGCUUGGUAUGCAAUGCCAAGAAGUUCUUUGGUGAUCUUGCGAAUGCUAGAAAUGACAUUAUAUAGUGUAGAGCAUUCGAGGAUUUUGUUUUAGAGUUUGUGAUCAUGUACUAAACACGUGCAUUUAUAUUUUUGUGUUACAUUGUUAAUCUAAUGAAACUAAUGAAAUAGUUGCACUGUGCACACUAGGUAAAAGUUAACAAUCGACAAAACACAGCCUAAUAACAAUAUUCUAGAGUGAUGGCUUGAAUCGACGUCAAAGGAAGAUUUCAUACAGAAACGGAAUUGGCGUCGAUUGAUGUAAUUUUUCGAAGUGUCCGUUUUCGAAGAGUUUUGGGUCCAUUUUGGGUGCAAACAACCCAAUAGACAAGACAUAGAGCUUCGACUAGAUGUUCGACUUUUUUGGGGCCAAUCCAUCAUUAUGUGUCUGAAAACAUGUUUUUGAUUUUCUGGAUAAUUUUAUUAAUUUUAAUAAGAUUAGAAUUUUAAUUUCAUUUAGAGUUGGUCGUUAUUUUUAAUUCUCAUGAUUAUCUUGAGUUAGUCGUUAUCUAGAAGUUUAUCAUUAUGUAGAAGUUUAGUUGUGAGCCAUAUUUUAUUUACUGUUUUAAAUACGAGUUAUAAGUCGUAUGACGUUGAGUUAAAUUUGAGUAUAAUGAAAAAUCUUGAGAAGUUUCUCAAAAUGGUUCUCUCUUUUUUGGUAUUCAUGAGCUAAUCAUCGAGUUUGAGCUUUAUCGUGAGAUUUUAUUCAUUCCUAUAAGUUUUCGCUACAUCAAAACUGAUCCUAUUUUUUAGAAAAGUGGUUCAUUUCUCAAUAAUAAUAAUAAUAAUAAUAAUAUAGUUUUGUACGAUAAAUCAACUUAUUUUUAUCCACUUUAUACAAUGCAUGAUAUUACUCGAGAGUAUUUAAAUUUGCACAGGCCUAUACUUAAUGAAUGAAGUGUGAUUUUUUCCCCGAGAGUAUUUAAGUGAGUUGGACCUGUAUGGUGAAUGGGCUAGGUUAUAUUGGCGUGGUGUUGGAUUUAUUGGGAAAUUUAUUUAAAGAAUAGCAACAAAAACAGUAGCACACAUUUUGAAGAGCAGUACUAUUCGACGAUAUUCUCUCUCUCUCUCUCCCUCGCUAACAAUUAACUAACAACUAGGAAACUACUGCUGCUGCCUCUUAUAUAUGUUUGGUGUUUUGGUGAAAGAUGGUUAUAAGGCUUGGAUGGAUUGUGGAAGGUGGUGGGGUGUGUGCGCGUAUAGAUUGGAUGGAAAUGGCUUUGUUGGACAAAGGAAACAAUUUGAGCUGUGCUACUAAAUUGAAAGGGGAACGGAAGAGAAGAAGAGAAAGGAUGCUGAAAAGAGGGAAGAAGAGGGAGAGAACAGAGAGUAACAGGGGAAGAAAAUCUGUUUAUUUCAGUAUCAAAGCUUGUUUCAAUUACAUUGCAAAAGCCCCCUCUAUAUAGGGUUUCAGAGAGCCUAUUCUAAGUAGCAAAUAUCUAAUAAAAGCUAUUAAAUUUAACCUGAUUAAGUUUCCUAAGAUGAACCUUAAAAUUGGAACUAUAUUAAAUAAUGUCUCUCCUAUAUUGCAUUAAAAGGUUUGCUUUGAUAUCGAUUAAAGUUGGCCAGUGAGUAGACAUUUAUUUUUGCUACACCUUUGCACUUUGCUGUCCAUCAUUUCAUUUUGUGGAGAUCAAGCAGUAUAUUUGCUUAUGAAAUUGCCACACUUCUUUUUUGAAGGGGCUGCUGGAGAACACGGAUAAAGAGAGAAUCAAGAGACUUGUACGAUUGAAGCCACCUACGGAAUUCUGAAUGGAUAGCAACCCUCUGUCUCAAAUUUAUAAAAAAGAAAUGUUUCCGUUUAGGCAGCAUUCCGUAUGUUAUGCAUGACGACUAAACUUUAAUGUAUUGUUUCACGUGGUCUUGUGUGUAGGCUUCUUCACUGCUCAACUCCCUUUAGUUUUUGCCCCUUUAUUGAUUGCUGUUUAGCCCUUAUUCUGAUCCAGCACACAGGUGAAAAUUUUCAGUUAUAUUAAGAAAGUAAAGUAAAAGGUUCAUGUUUACUUUUUAGCACUCUUUUUAUCUUCCUUUGCCUUCCAGUUGUUUGGUAGUCAUUAGAUGCUUGAUUCGACCAGAGAAUGCCUUAUUGCAUCCUUGGAAGAGAGACUCAUCUUGAUCAGCUUUCCUUCGGCCCCUUUUUUUGAAUAUUCCGAGGUGAAAAGGAAAGAACUCCUUGGGGUUCAUAUUCUAUUCUCUUUCUUAAAGGAAAGAGUAGCCUUACGGCUGGAAGCCAUCCUGUGGGUUCCUUCCCUUGUUAAGAGUUAUUAAUCAAGCUAAUCAACUAGCGACAGAGCAAAAGAAUCGUUAAGGCGCUGUUACCCAUACCGGUUACGGAUACCUACGGUCCUACGCUUGAGGUUAGUCCGUUUCUGCUUGGAAGGUUGUAUUCUGGAAUUUUUCGGACUUUCAAGUUGUAUAUUUAAAACCUGUUUCAUGUAGACUCUUUCUACUACAGAUUUUGUCAAAAUUAAUUUUUUUUUCAAGAACAUGUGGUUAAAAA